This 429-nucleotide ribosomal RNA is filed under the name Chloroflexota bacterium. RNAcentral's name for it is "Chloroflexi bacterium partial 16S ribosomal RNA". It matches the Rfam family "Bacterial small subunit ribosomal RNA", at positions 355 to 776 of the family's 1533-position model. The record is from RNAcentral. Lineage: Bacteria; Bacillati; Chloroflexota.
UGGGGAAUAUUGCACAAUGGGCGCAAGCCUGAUGCAGCCAUGCCGCGUGUGUGAAGAAGGCCUUCGGGUUGUAAAGCACUUUCAGCGGGGAGGAAGGCGGUGAGGUUAAUAACCUCAUCAAUUGACGUUACCGACAGAAGAAGCACCGGCUAACUCCGUGCCAGCAGCCGCGGUAAUACGGAGGGUGCAAGCGUUAAUCGGAAUUACUGGGCGUAAAGCGCACGCAGGCGGUUGAUUGAGUCAGAUGUGAAAUCCCCGGGCUUAACCCGGGAAUUGCAUCUGAUACUGGUCAGCUAGAGUCUUGUAGAGGGGGGUAGAAUUCCAUGUGUAGCGGUGAAAUGCGUAGAGAUGUGGAGGAAUACCGGUGGCGAAGGCGGCCCCCUGGACAAAGACUGACGCUCAGGUGCGAAAGCGUGGGGAGCAAACAGG